UACGGAGGGUGCGAGCGUUGUCCGGAAUCAUUGGGCGUAAAGGGCGCGUAGGUGGCCCGGUCAGUUCGUGGUGAAAGCGCGGGGCUCAACCCUGCGUCGGCCAUGAAUACUGCCGCGGCUGGAGCACUGUAGAGGCAGGCGGAAUUCCGGGUGUAGCGGUGGAAUGCGUAGAGAUCCGGAAGAACACCGGUGGCGAAGGCGGAUCUCUGGGCCUGAUCUGACGCUGAGGCGCGAAAGCUAGGGGAGCGAACAGG
This 254-nucleotide ribosomal RNA is filed under the name uncultured bacterium. RNAcentral describes it as "partial 16S ribosomal RNA". It matches the Rfam family "Bacterial small subunit ribosomal RNA", at positions 524 to 776 of the family's 1533-position model. The record is from RNAcentral.